GUCACGGUGGCCGAGUGGUUAAGGCGUUGGACUCGAAAUCCUCUCCCCGCACAGGUUCGAAUCCUGUCCGUGACG
Molecule: non-coding RNA, 75 nt
Organism: Anneissia japonica
Lineage: Eukaryota; Metazoa; Echinodermata; Crinoidea; Comatulida; Comatulidae
Source: the annotation of a RefSeq genome assembly